UACGUAGGGGGCUAGCGUUGUCCGGAAUCAUUGGGCGUAAAGCGCGUGUAGGCGGCCCGAUAAGUCCGCUGUGAAAGUCGGGGGCUCAACCCUCGAAAGCCGGUGGAUACUGUCAGGCUAGAGUACGGAAGAGGCGAGUGGAAUUCCUGGUGUAGCGGUGAAAUGCGCAGAUAUCAGGAGGAACACCCAUUGCGAAGGCAGCUCGCUGGGACGUUACUGACGCUGAGACGCGAAAGCGUGGGGAGCAAACAGG
RNAcentral lists this ribosomal RNA (253 nucleotides) under uncultured bacterium. RNAcentral's name for it is "partial 16S ribosomal RNA". It matches the Rfam family "Bacterial small subunit ribosomal RNA", at positions 524 to 776 of the family's 1533-position model. The record is from RNAcentral.